RNAcentral lists this ribosomal RNA (443 nucleotides) under uncultured bacterium. Its description in RNAcentral is "partial 16S ribosomal RNA". It matches the Rfam family "Bacterial small subunit ribosomal RNA", at positions 338 to 795 of the family's 1533-position model. The record is from RNAcentral.
CCUACGGGAGGCAGCAGUGGGGAAUAUUGGGCAAUGGAGGAAACUCUGACCCAGCAACGCCGCGUGAAUGAUGAAGGUCUUCGGAGUGUAAAGUUCUUUUCUAAGGGAAGAAGAAAGUGACGGUACCUUAGGAAUAAGCCUCGGCUAACUACGUGCCAGCAGCCGCGGUAAUACGUAGGAGGCAAGCGUGAUCCGGAAUGACUGGGCUUAAGGGGUGCGUAGGUGGUUUGACAAGUUGGUAGCGUAACUCCGAGGCUUAACCUCGGCACUACUACCAAAACUGUUGGACUCGAGUGCAGGAGGGGCAAAUGGAAUUCCUAGUGUAGCGGUGGAAUGCGUAGAUAUUAGGAGGAACACCAGUGGCGAAGGCGAUUUGCUGGACUGUAACUGACACUGAGGCACGAAAGCGUGGGGAGCAAACAGGAUUAGAUACCCGAGUAGUC